UACGUAGGGGGCGAGCGUUAUCCAGAUUUACUGGGCGUAAAGCGCGUGUAGGCGGCUGGUUAGGUGUGAUGUGAAAUCCUCGGGCUCAACCCGAGAACUGCAUUGCAAACCGGCCUGGCUAGAGUGCAGGAGAGGGAAGCGGAAUUCCAGGUGUGGCGGUGAAAUGCGUAGAUAUCUGGAGGAACACCGGUGGCGAAGGCGGCAUCCUGGACCAACACUGACGCUGAUGAGCGAAAGCCAGGGGAGCAAACGGG
RNAcentral lists this ribosomal RNA (254 nucleotides) under uncultured bacterium. RNAcentral's name for it is "partial 16S ribosomal RNA". It matches the Rfam family "Bacterial small subunit ribosomal RNA", at positions 524 to 776 of the family's 1533-position model. The record is from RNAcentral.